AAAUAAGAAGUAAAAUUUUACGUUUAGUUUCGGCCUAAAUCCUUGGUUUUAAAGAAAGCCCUUAUUUU
RNAcentral lists this transfer RNA (68 nucleotides) under Lipromima minuta. RNAcentral's name for it is "tRNA-Arg". Lineage: Eukaryota; Metazoa; Arthropoda; Insecta; Coleoptera; Chrysomelidae. The record is from RNAcentral.